Molecule: ribosomal RNA, 462 nt
Filed under: uncultured bacterium
Lineage: Bacteria
Description: partial 16S ribosomal RNA
Rfam family: Bacterial small subunit ribosomal RNA
Source: RNAcentral
GACGAACGCUGGCGGCGUGCUUAACACAUGCAAGUCGAGCGGAAAGGCCCUUCGGGGUACUCGAGCGGCGAACGGGUGAGUAACACGUGAGUAACCUGCCCCAGACUUUGGGAUAACCCUCGGAAACGGGGGCUAAUACCGGAUACGACACAGCUUCGCAUGGGGUCUGUGUGGAAAGUUUUUCGGUUUGGGAUGGGCUCGCGGCCUAUCAGCUUGUUGGUGGGGUGAUGGCCUACCAAGGCGACGACGGGUAGCCGGCCUGAGAGGGCGACCGGCCACACUGGGACUGAGACACGGCCCAGACUCCUACGGGAGGCAGCAGGGGGGAAUAUUGCACAAUGGGCGGACGCCUGAUGCAGCGACGCCGCGUGAGGGAUGACGGCCUUCGGGUUGUAAACCUCUUUCAGCAGGGACGAAGCGUAAGUGACGGUACCUGCAGAAGAAGCGCCGGCCAACUACGUG